UGGGGAAUAUUGCGCAAUGGGCGAAAGCCUGACGCAGCGACGCCGCGUGAGUGAUGAAGGCCCUCGGGUCGUAAAGCUCUGUCAGGGGGGACGAAACCUCGGCAGGUUAAUACCCUGUCGACUUGACGGUACCUCCAAAGGAAGCACCGGCUAACUCCGUGCCAGCAGCCGCGGUAAUACGGAGGGUGCGAGCGUUGUUCGGAAUUACUGGGCGUAAAGCGCGUGUAGGCGGCUAUUUAAGUCUGGUGUGAAAUCCCGGGGCUCACCCCCGGAAGUGCAUUGGAUACUGGAUAGCUAGAGUACCGGAGAGGAGGGUGGAAUUCCUGGUGUAGCGGUGAAAUGCGUAGAUAUCAGGAGGAACACCGGUGGCGAAGGCGGCCCUCUGGACGGAUAACUGACGCUGAGACGCGAAAGCGUGGGGAGCAACAGGAUUAGAUACCCUGGUAGUCCACGCCGUAAACGAUGGGCACUAGGUGUUCGGGGUAGUUGACCCCCUGAGUGCCGCAGCUAA
RNAcentral lists this ribosomal RNA (511 nucleotides) under uncultured Pseudomonadota bacterium. RNAcentral's name for it is "bacterial SSU rRNA". It matches the Rfam family "Bacterial small subunit ribosomal RNA", at positions 355 to 855 of the family's 1533-position model. Lineage: Bacteria; Pseudomonadati; Pseudomonadota. The record is from RNAcentral.